Molecule: transfer RNA, 72 nt
Filed under: Camelus bactrianus (Bactrian camel)
Lineage: Eukaryota; Metazoa; Chordata; Mammalia; Artiodactyla; Camelidae
Also listed under: 2 other names
Rfam family: tRNA
About the family: Transfer RNA (tRNA) molecules are approximately 80 nucleotides in length.
Source: Rfam by way of RNAcentral
GAGAGUAUAGCUCAAUGGUAGAGUGCUUGCUUAGCAUGCAUGAGGUCCUGGAUUCCAUCCCCAGUCCCUCCA